This 665-nucleotide long non-coding RNA is filed under the name Homo sapiens (human). RNAcentral's name for it is "non-protein coding lnc-HECTD4-1:4". The record is from RNAcentral. Lineage: Eukaryota; Metazoa; Chordata; Mammalia; Primates; Hominidae.
CGCAACCCUGUCCUUGUCAGAGGAAUUGGCAGGUAUUCCCGAUCUGCCAUGUAUUCCAGAAAGGCCAUGUACAAGAGGAAGUACUCAGCCGCUAAAUCCAAGUUGAAAAGAAAAAGAAGGAGAAGGUUCUCGCAACUGUUACAAAACCAGUUGGUGGUGACAAGAACGGCGGUACCCGGGUGGUUAAACUUCGCAAAAUCCUAGAUAUUAUCCUACUGAAGAUGUGCCUCGAAAGCUGUUGAGCCACGGCAAAAAACCCUUCAGUCAGCACGUGAGAAAACUGCGAGCCAGCAUUACCCCCGGGACCAUUCUGAUCAUCCUCACUGGACGCCACAGGGGCAAAGGGUGGUUUUCCUGAAGCAGCUGGCUAGUGGCUUAUUACUUGUGACUGACCUCUGGUCCUCAAUCGAGUUCCUCUACGAAGAACACACCAGAAAUUUGUCAUUGCCACUUCAACCAAAAUCGAUAUCAGCAAUGUAAAAAUCCCAAAACAUCUUACUGAUGCUUACUUCAAGAAGAAGAAGCUGCGGAAGCCCAGACACCAGGAAGGUGAGAUCUUCGACACAGAAAAAGAAAAUAUGAGAUUACGGAGCAGCGCAAGAUUGAUCAGAAAGCUGUGGACUCACAAAUUUUACCAAAAAUCAAAGCUAUUCCUCAGCUCCAGG